AGUCGAACGAGCGAGAGAGAGCUUGCUUUCUCGAGCGAGUGGCGAACGGGUGAGUAACGCGUGAGGAACCUGCCUCAAAGAGGGGGACAACAGUUGGAAACGACUGCUAAUACCGCAUAAGCCCACGGCUCGGCAUCGAGCAGAGGGAAAAGGAGCAAUCCGCUUUGAGAUGGCCUCGCGUCCGAUUAGCUAGUUGGUGAGGUAACGGCCCACCAAGGCGACGAUCGGUAGCCGGACUGAGAGGUUGAACGGCCACAUUGGGACUGAGACACGGCCCAGACUCCUACGGGAGGCAGCAGUGGGGAAUAUUGCACAAUGGGGGAAACCCUGAUGCAGCGACGCCGCGUGGAGGAAGAAGGUCUUCGGAUUGUAAACUCCUGUUGUUGGGGAAGAUAAUGACGGUACCCAACAAGGAAGUGACGGCUAACUACGUGCCAGCAGCCGCGGUAAAACGUAGGUCACAAGCGUUGUCCGGAAUUACUGGGUGUAAAGGGAGCGCAGGCGGGAAGACAAGUUGGAAGUGAAAUCUAUGGGCUCAACCCAUAAACUGCUUUCAAAACUGUUUUUCUUGAGUAGUGCAGAGGUAGGCGGAAUUCCCGGUGU
Molecule: ribosomal RNA, 603 nt
Filed under: uncultured bacterium
Lineage: Bacteria
Description: bacterial SSU rRNA
Rfam family: Bacterial small subunit ribosomal RNA
Source: RNAcentral